This is an RNA transcript of Glycine soja, 2382 nucleotides long. RefSeq lists it as uncharacterized. The transcript is spliced from 13 exons. The record is from RefSeq and is a predicted model, not a curated record. NCBI's taxonomy places the organism in Eukaryota, Viridiplantae, Streptophyta, Magnoliopsida, Fabales, Fabaceae.
ACCCUCAAAAUCGUGCUCUGAUCGAAAAUUGGUUGAUGUUGAGUUUAUUCUCUUUAUGGAGGGUAAUGUAGUGAUGGAGCAAAGUUUUGGUGCCCCUAAAGUAACCGAAGAUGGAGUAAAUACUGCAGAGAGCAUUGAAUUCAAGGAUAAAGUUAAGAAGAGGGAGCACUUUAAUUGUUUUGCAGGAACCACAUGUGCUAUAGUCCUUACGCGAGCAAUAUUUACUGAAGGCUGCAAAUCAGUUGUGGCUGGAAUGAAUUCACUGGACCUGAGGUGUGGUCUGAGUAUGGCUGUAGGUGAUGCGGUGGCAAACUUGAAAAGCAAAGCAAGGAUGAUUAGCACCUCUGAAGAAAUAGCACAGAUUGAUAGGUUGGGACAUAUCUGCUAAUGGAGAGAGAGAAAUUGGUGAGUUGAUUGCAAAAGCUAUGGAGAAAGUUGGCAAAGAGGGAGUAAUCACAAUUUCAGUUAGUUUUUAUCUGAUUAUCCUAUUGAUCAGUGUUUACUGCCUGUUUUACUUGUGGAGGAAAGUGUAGUUCCAGAUUCCAUCUUGGUUAUGGUCAUCCAGGAUGGAGUCAUUUCUUUUUCUGCCAUUUAUUUUGCUAAUCCUUAUUGAAGUAUAGGUGAUGCACUUGAAUAUCUGAAAAAAGAAUUAAAGUAUCUGGUGAUCUGCAGGAGUAAGAUAACAGAGAGAAGCAGGGUGAAAAGAAGAUGAUAAUGCUGAUGAGUAUGGCUAUAUUUCUGAAUUUGAAAAAGGGGACAACUCAAGCUUUGGGAUCUGCAAUAUUGGAGCAGGUUGAUAGAAACAUUGAUGGUGGUGAGUUUGAUAAAGAGUGCAUUGCCGGAGAAUAUGCAGAGUUGCAGUUUGAGAAGGAAAAAUCAGAAAUGAAUUCGGUUUCAUCUGAUCCAAAGAUAGAAGAAGAAAUACUGGAAGCAGAAGAAAAACUGCAGUUUCCCGACAACGAGCCAAUUGUGGUGGGUUGUGCAAGAUGAGGUGCAGUGCACAUUCGAGGCCCAACUAAUUAUUUAAACCAAUCCUUGGAUAAGGAGUGGCGCAUUAUGGUGAACUUGCUCCUGAGUGUGUGCACACAUACUACAAAUAUGGGUGUGCUCUUUUGUACAAGGCUCAGGAGGAAGCUGAUCCAUUGGCAGAUGUGUCCAAGAAGGAGGAUGGAUCUCAACAUGGCUCCAACAAAGAUGGUUCUAAAUUGCCAUGAAUAUGCCAUCUAGAUCUUAGCACCAUUGAGAUAUGCCACUGUCUAUGGAUGCUCAGAAGCAACAAUAGUUCUAGGAGUGCCCAAGAAGACAUGGACGACGAAGAAUCCAAAAGCAAUCCCAUUUGUGUGUUUGCAUAUGAGAAGGGAGGGCUAUCAAACUAAGGUGUGCAUAAAGGUUAUUGGUGAGAAGAGUGCGAAGAUGGUGACCGACGAAGGUGCAAUAUAUGUUAUUGCAAACAGAGGUUACAACUGGAGGGCUAUUGUCCAGGAAACUGUGUCAGCUACUCUUAACAGUAUGAAGGUGCUGCCAGGGAAGGUGGGAAAGGACCCAGUAUAUGGGAUACUUUCGCUCAUAAAUACCCAGUAUGAAGGUGCUGCAAGGGAAGGUGGAAAAGGACCAAGUAUAUGAGAUACUUUCACUCAUAAAUACCCAGGAACCAAAUCAACCAAUGGUGUUCAAGCAAAAGAAAAUGUCAGUUGAGCAGAUUAUAUGCAGCAGGUACACCACCUCAUUUUAUCGCUUCUGAAGGCAAUAAAAGUGUUACAAGGAGGAAUGAAAGAUGGAAGAAGCCAUUACCAAAGCCAAAUUAAAAGCAAACUUUGGCAUUGGAAUCAUUAUUAGGACCAUGAGGGUGAAAUUUUUGCAAUUGCAACAAAGUUUAUGCCAAAUACUUAUAGUAUCAAAGUGGCAGAAUCUUUGGCCUUAAGAUGGUGUAUUGAAGUCAUGUAAUAAGGCACCAACGCUGCAUUACACAUAUUUUGAUGGCAUUAUCAAAGAUUGCAUUCAAUUGAUGCAAUCUUUUUCAUCACCUAGUGUUCAGUGGUAUUAACAUCAAUGGAUGGGAAAUGAUGAUAGCGCUUGGUUUCAUGGCUGCAACAAGUGUUAGAGUGGCAAAUGAACUUGGAAGAGGAAACUCACAAGCUGCAAAGUUCUCUAUAGUUGUGACAAUGCUUACAUCAUUUGAAAUUGGAUUUAUCUUAUUUGUUCUUUUUUUAUUUUUAAGAGAAAAAAGUAGUUUAUCUCUAUACUUCAGACAAAGAUGUGGGUGCUGCUGUGGGGGAUUUGUUUUGUAGUUUUUGUUUGCUGCCCCUCUAGUAGAUAUUGAUGCUAUUCGUGAGCCUGUUUCUCGAUCUCUAUUUUAUGGAAAUAAUGUCAUUUCUGGUGCCA